GAUGAACGCUGGCGGCGUGCCUAAUACAUGCAAGUCGAGCGAACGGACGAGAAGCUUGCUUCUCUGAUGUUAGCGGCGGACGGGUGAGUAACACGUGGAUAACCUACCUAUAAGACUGGGAUAACUUCGGGAAACCGGAUCUAAUACCGGAUAAUAUUUUGAACCGCAUGGUUCAAAAGUUAAAGACGGUCUUGCUGUCACUUAUAGAUGGAUCCGCGCUGCAUUAGCUAGUUGGUAAGGUAACGGCUUACCAAGGCAACGAUGCAUAGCCGACCUGAGAGGGUGAUCGGCCACACUGGAACUGAGACACGGUCCAGACUCCUACGGGAGGCAGCAGUAGGGAAUAUUCCGCAAUGGGCGAAAGCCUGACGGAGCAACGCCGCGUGAGUGAUGAAGGUCUUCGGAUCGUAAAACUCUGUUAUUAGGGAAGAACAUAUGUGUAAGUAACUGUGCACAUCUUGACGGUACCUAAUCAGAAAGCCACGGCUAACUACGUG
Molecule: ribosomal RNA, 497 nt
Filed under: uncultured bacterium
Lineage: Bacteria
Description: partial 16S ribosomal RNA
Rfam family: Bacterial small subunit ribosomal RNA
Source: RNAcentral